GAAGUCGUAACAAGGUUUCCGUAGGUGAACCUGCGGAAGGAUCAUUGAAUCUAUCAACAACCACACCUUUGUGAACCACUGAAAUGUCGGCCCCGUGUGUAGUCUUGCAAAAGGCUGUGCAUGGCGGUGUGUUCUUUCCCCUAACAAGGGAGAGAGCACGCCAGGCCUAUGCAUACAUACUUGUGUGUAUGCAUGGGUCGGCCCUUUUACUAACCAACCACUCCAAACUAAACCAAUCUGAAGCAAUUGUGUAGCCGGCUUGGCCGUCCUACACGUCUAACCAAGACAACUCUCAACAACGGAUAUCUUGGCUCUCGCAACGAUGAAGAACGCAGCGAAAUGCGAUACGUAGUGUGAAUUGCAGAAUUCCGUGAAUCAUCAAGUCUUUGAACGCAUAUUGCGCUCGAGGCAUCUGCCGAGAGCAUGUCUGCCUCAGCGUCGAUGUAACCCUCAUCCCACCACCCACAUUCGUGUGAGUGAUGGAAUGGAUCUGGCCGUCCCGGCAUUCUUAAGUGAAGGCCGGGUCAGCUGAAGCAUAGAGGCUAAACAAGGACCUAUAUGGGCCGCAUCUAGGUAGGCAGCUUACGCUCCAUAUUUAGGUGUUGGCUUUGGUGUUUGUGUAGCCCUCAAACAGGAACCUACUUACAUUUUCGACCUGAGCUCAGGCAAGAACACCCGCUGAACUUAAGCAUAUCAAUAAGCGGAGGAAAAGAAACUAACCAGG
RNAcentral lists this ribosomal RNA (724 nucleotides) under Chlamydomonas sp. SP2-18. Its description in RNAcentral is "eukaryotic LSU rRNA". The stretch from base 288 to 441 matches the Rfam family "5.8S ribosomal RNA". Lineage: Eukaryota; Viridiplantae; Chlorophyta; Chlorophyceae; Chlamydomonadales; Chlamydomonadaceae. The record is from RNAcentral.